GACCUCAAACUAAAUAAAUGCUAAUGUUUACUCGUUGGAAAGAUAUAGAUAUAGUUUAUACUGGUAUAGCUCCUAUCAUAAAGUAGAAAUUGAAUGCAUUUUUGGUGAUUAAUGAUUGACCACUAAACCAAAAAAACUGUUAGGCACUGCUAAAAAAACCUAUUACUACGUGUUAUUAUAAGUACAAUUGUACUUGUAUUUCCCUUUUAAUUUUUAAAAUUAUUCAUGCCUGCUCUUGGGAAGGAAUGCAGGAUUUGGGAAUGCAGGAUUUAUAUUUAGGAUCCAGAUUUAUAUGGUUUUGCUUCAUUCUUGAGUAUCCACAGUAAUGCCAAAAAAAUAGUAUGCAGUGAAUAGCUUAUCAUUAGUUGUAAGCUCCAAAUUACAAAAGUAUCCUUAGAAUGUUUGGAAAAAUUGAUAAUAUAAAGUAAAAAAAUAGAUAAAU
Long non-coding RNA from Phyllostomus discolor (pale spear-nosed bat), 442 nucleotides. RefSeq lists it as uncharacterized. NCBI's taxonomy places the organism in Eukaryota, Metazoa, Chordata, Mammalia, Chiroptera, Phyllostomidae. The transcript is spliced from 2 exons. The record is from RefSeq and is a predicted model, not a curated record.